GUAGGUGGCAAGCGUUGUCCGGAAUUAUUGGGCGUAAAGCGCGCGCAGGCGGUUCUUUAAGUCUGAUGUGAAAGCCCACGGCUCAACCGUGGAGGGUCAUUGGAAACUGGAGAACUUGAGUACAGAAGAGGAAAGCGGAAUUCCACGUGUAGCGGUGAAAUGCGUAGAGAUGUGGAGGAACACCAGUGGCGAAGGCGGCUUUCUGGUCUGUAACUGACGCUGAGGCGCGAAAGCGUGGGGAGCAAACAGGGAUUAGAUACCCUGGUAGUCCACGCCGUAAACGAUGAGUGCUAAGUGUUAGGGGGUUUCCGCCCCCUUAGUGCUGCAGCUAACGCAUUGAGCACUCCGCCUGGGAGUACGGCCGCAAGGCUG
Molecule: ribosomal RNA, 372 nt
Filed under: uncultured organism
Description: partial 16S ribosomal RNA
Rfam family: Bacterial small subunit ribosomal RNA
Source: RNAcentral